RNAcentral lists this transfer RNA (63 nucleotides) under Scaptodrosophila lebanonensis. Its description in RNAcentral is "tRNA-Ile". Lineage: Eukaryota; Metazoa; Arthropoda; Insecta; Diptera; Drosophilidae. The record is from RNAcentral.
AAUGAAUUGCCUGAUAAAAGGGCUACCUUGAUAGGGUAAAUCAUGUAAUUUUUUACAUUCAUU